CGGUUUCAGUGCCUCUCCCUUUAAAUGCUAAUAAGCUACUACGUGCACCGCCCAAAGAUGUAUUUGCGCCGCCCACCUCUCCCUGCCUGCGGAAGAUGUGAGGACGGCAUUGUGUGACCUUGGCAACGGCUGAGUUACCGGAAGAAAUGGCCGCCGGACAACAAACUGCGGUGCAACCGUACAUGUUCGAGCCGGAGUCCGACCCAGAACAACAAGAGGCUCCAGAAGGAGUUCAGCAGCCAAGAAUGAACAUGGAUGUUUCUCAGUGUUUGGUGUUCCUGUGGCAGUUGUGAACAAGUGCCUACAGAGCCUGAGAAUAUAUGCUGUAUGGAAAUACCACAGGUUACACGAAGACUUAGUUACAGCAGCUUCCUGAGCCACCAUCCUGCAUGCUGGACCAUCCUGGCCUAGAGCCUGUCUGCCUGAAUGUGUUUUCACUGCAGAAUGCACUGAACAUUUAUCGGGCAGAUUGCGGACCUUUACGUCUGAGGGGAAUAGUGCACCAAUAUAGAUACCUAGCCUACAGAAGCUUUGUAAGCUGGUGCUGGUGCUUUCUGGGGCGAAGAGUGAGAGCUGUGCUGCCUGCCUGUGUGGUGCUGAGGAUUCAUGCAGAGUUCCCUGACGCUGAAGGACAG
Long non-coding RNA from Acanthopagrus latus (yellowfin seabream), 635 nucleotides. RefSeq lists it as uncharacterized. The transcript is spliced from 4 exons. NCBI's taxonomy places the organism in Eukaryota, Metazoa, Chordata, Actinopteri, Spariformes, Sparidae. The record is from RefSeq and is a predicted model, not a curated record.